RNAcentral lists this ribosomal RNA (444 nucleotides) under uncultured bacterium. RNAcentral describes it as "bacterial SSU rRNA". It matches the Rfam family "Bacterial small subunit ribosomal RNA", at positions 331 to 792 of the family's 1533-position model. The record is from RNAcentral.
CCAGACUCCUACGGGAGGCAGCAGUGGGGAAUAUUGCACAAUGGGGGAAACCCUGAUGCAGCAACGCCGCGUGAGUGAAGAAGUAUUUCGGUAUGUAAAGCUCUAUCAGCAGGGAAGAAGAUGACGGUACCUGAUUAAGAAGCCCCGGCUAACUACGUGCCAGCAGCCGCGGUAAUACGUAGGGGGCAAGCGUUAUCCGGAUUUACUGGGCGUAAAGGGAGCGCAGACGGCAGUGCAAGUCUGGAGUGAAAGCCCGGGGCCCAACCCCGGAACUGCUCUGGAAACUGUGCGGCUAGAGUGCAGGAGGGGCAGGCGGAAUUCCUAGUGUAGCGGUGAAAUGCGUAGAUAUUAGGAGGAACACCAGUGGCGAAGGCGGCCUGCUGGACAGUAACUGACGUUGAGGCUCGAAAGCGUGGGGAGCAAACAGGAUUAGAUCCCCCAGUA